CACUUGUUGAGCAUCAUGAGCGCCAGGCACAGCUGCUGGAUUAAACUCUUCCACCAGGUGUGUGUUUUAAAUUAACGUGUCGACAUGCCAGCCACAUGAACAAAAGAAACAACCUGCCGUUCCACUCCGAGCCAGAGCAGCAGAAAGAAAUGCAGCAAUUUUAAAUUGCAUGGAUAUGUCGUAAAUGAGAUGGUGAGCAGCGGCCAUGUUGGAUUACGACAACUGGACAAGAAUGAGAAGAGAACGAGAUCAGUCAACACCGGUGGCCGAGAUGAGCUGCUGCAGUCGGAUUUAUCAAGAGAGCGUGAGAUAAGAAGUAAGUGCUAAGCAAAGACGCGUGCACAAGUCCAUCCUUCAGAGGCUCAUGCAGCCCUCAGGUGGAGGAGAGCAUCUUCGACAUGCUCGUCACUUGCAUGGACUUGCUAAUUUGAAUUCCUUUUUAAAACUUUUUGCACUUUCUCUUCCCUUUAAACGCAUAUCUGCACUUACAUUUUGUAUUACUAUUUUUAUUUGUAUGUAAAGGGAGCAGGAUGUGAAUAUGUGAGAGACUUGCCUCUUUGUGUCCACGCUCCUACACUAUGAUAGAUAAUUGUUAUAUUAGUCGAAUAAUCGAACAGUAAUAUACAAUAGUCGAUAGAUUAAUCAAUUACGAAAAUAAGUUAGUUGCAGCCCUAGUCCCAAUACAGUGACAUAACAUGGAAAGUGUGAUUGAAUAUGAUGCCUAAUGUCUGUCACACCCCACUGAUUGUGGACAAUGAAUGUGUCCUGGCAUGAGUUUUUCAUUCUGUGAACCACAAAACCAGAUUACAUAACACAGAGAGCUCAGAAUCUAUUUUGCAUAUUAUUCCAAAAUUAGUUUUGUUUGCCUACCAACGUGCUUACACAAGAUUAUUGACUUCCACUCAACGAAACUUGUACAACUUGACUAUUCCGAUCUAAUUGGCAAAAAUAAGACGCAGAUGUGAAGCUGAACAUCUGUUAUUUGGAGGAUGGAAUGCAGAAUUUCCCCACUUAGUUUGGUAAAACAUUCCCCUGUGACAGUCUGUAGAAGUAACGUAGUUUUAGUUCUCCCCCAGUUAAUGAUUAUUUUUUCUGUAAAUGACAUUUCUUUUUACCCACAAAAGCUGAUAAACAUUACAGCACUUAGGAAAUAAGCUUCUCUAAUGUUCAUUAUAAUUCACUGCCGUUGUUUUUGCGGUCUUCAUUUCAAGGGCUAUUUAGGAGCGCCACUUUUAAUUGAUUAUUCUAUAGCCAAUUUGGGGCCGCUGACUUUGGUAGUUCAUUUUAAAAGUAAUUUCAACGCGUUGCUUUUAGUUGUUCAUUUUAGAAGCAAUUCAGGGCCACUGAUGGUGGAGAGUUUUUGUAACAGUGCUUAUUAAUUGAGUGGAACGGAGGAAGCAGGAGGCUGUAACUGGGUUCCUGCUUUCAUACUUUUAGUACACACUGCAGCUUGCAAAGUAAAAACUGUUGCGUACAGAAUACAUUUCAUUUAGACAUACUACUUCCUCAUGACAUGGAACCUUGCACUCUUACCCCUUUUGCUCAAAUUUAUGGUCUGCUUGUGGGUCAGAAUAGCUUGCUGGCUUGCAAAAUGUAAAAUACAUAGAAUAAAUUGGAGCUGUAUGGCCGAAAAUCCAUAUCCCGGUAUUUAGAUUCUGACAGUACCCUGGUAUGUGACGGUAUUGCUUUUUCAGGUAAAGAUUAUUAUUAUUAUAUUAUUAUUUCUUUGACCCCGAAAAGGACCGGCGGCUACCCGAACAGCUGUUCGCUGGCCAACUUGCUGGCCGGCGAGUUAGCUUGUUAGCGUGUUAGCUAGUUAGCUUGUUAUGGCUGCUAGUGUUGCCACCAGAGGCUCGACAGCCUUUGCUAUAAAUCAUUUUCUGAUCUGACAACAGAUUUUCCCCAAAAAACCCUCCAAACACACAGCUUCUCUCUCGUGUAGUCGUGUGCAUCUCUGGUCCCUCGUUGCGCUCUUUUCUGUGUUUUCAUGUAGCAACAGAGUUACUUCUUGUGAGCUGUACCCAGCAUGCAAUUCGUCAGGGUAAUUUUUAUAAAUGUACAAUUAUUAGUGUUACAAAUUGUUUAUGUGUUACAAGCUGUGCUGUGGUGUUUUACCCUGUUAAAGAGUGUUUGAUGUGGGUUAUUCAGUGUUGUUAUAAAGUUAUAACCAUGACUCAAUCUCAACACACGUAAGACAGAUAAGCUCCGAUUGCUGGGAGCUCCUCGAUGAUGUGUUAAAAUAAAUUCUACCACCUACAGCAGAUCAACGUCAGUUAUUAUGGUUUAACACCCGUAUGAGCGGUACAUGAGAAAUUCAUACCGUAUAGAAAUCUUAUACUGGUACACCGCCCAGCCCCAGAAUGUAGCUAGGUAUUUCUUGGCAUAUUGACCUUUACAUCUGUGUAAGUAUCCAAAGGAAUCAAUAGCUGUAAAUGGACACCCCCUUAUAUACCGAGUAUUCCCAUUCAUCUAUUAUUGGAUGUGCUUAUUGGUCGUCAUUCACCUGGCAUUGACAUUGUUCUUCUGCUAGGAUUGUAAUAUGCACAUAUUUGGUAAGAAAGAAGGAGUUAAGCUCACACAGGCACUGGGGUCAGCUAAGGGGUACGCACGCUUUGAGGUAAGAGACCGGACAGAGUUGAAUGUACCUGUAGCUUUGCGCUGAUGCACAUAUCUUACCCUGUUUAAGGACAAAUAAACAAUUCUUUUAAAAAUGCACGCCUGGAUGUCCAAGUGUGCUACAACAUACCAACAAGUAUUUUCAGUCUGGUAGCAUGGGUAUUGGAACACAGUAAAUUAAUACAUUCUGCAGCUACUAAAAAAAACAAAGCAGUACUAAAAUAAAUACAGAUCCAACCAUCAAAUAUAGCUGCUCCAUCAUGCCAUGCGGAUGAUAACAUUAUGUGUGUCUGCAUGUAUUGCAUCAUUGUACUCUACAUCAGGGGUAUUCAAUUCAAAUUCCCAAAAGUCCAGAUUGAGAGAAUUUCCUGGUGCAAAGGUCUGGAACAGGGGGGAAAUUAUCCCCCUAAGAUUUACAGAGCUUCUUUCCUCAGACCUCGACAAGCUGUGAGUUUACAGGUAACAGUUCAGUUAACAUCUUCUUUAAGGCCAGAGAAAUGUCUUCUCCUUUUGUACUGGUCUUAAGACCAACACCCAACAGGUCUUCACAGAACGCUUUGUUCUCCUUGUUGAAGAACCUCACAUGAACUAACAGCUGAGCAAUGUCCGACAGAUCAGAGGACUCAUCUACAGCUUCACACAGCCUGCUUUAUGAAUACUGUACCCAGAUGUGCGAGUAGAUGCGAGUAGAUCCUGGGCUAAUAUGUCAGUUCUCUUUAAAAUUUUAGAUUGAUUUUUUUUUUUUUUACAAAAUUCUUCUUUUAGUUUGCCCUCAAGUAAAGUUUCAGCUACCGCACUCAUGCUCUUCGUGACAACAUCUCCGUCACUGAAUGGCUUCUUAUGUGGACCCAAAAUCCAAGCAACUUUCAUUCAACAAUCAGAUUGAUUGUGUUUUUCGAUCUUUGUGCCAGCGGGCUCAUUCAGCUGUCGUUGUGUGUACAGGACAUUGUGCUCUAAUCGCACGCCAUCCAAGAAAGGAAACACAUUUUGUUUUCCCUCCCACCAAACAUUUUACCUGCCAAAAGCGAAGGUUUCAAAAUAGCACAUAAAUCAUCUGGCACAUCGAUGCCGUUACAUCCUGUGUGUGGAAUAUUCUCUGAGUCUUCAUGUACCUGUUUUAGUAGAGAAUGUGUCAUCCUUUCUUCACACGUUCUAGCAUACAACUGUGAAAAAUAUAUAAAAAAGGAGUGUUGCUGUCACACGUUUGCUUUUAGACGGCUGACAAUGAGUCAAAUCGGAUACUUUCUUCAUGGAGUUGGAGGUGGCAUAUCCAAAUAAAGACACUACGGGGUUAGAUAUGAAUAC
This is a long non-coding RNA of Gasterosteus aculeatus aculeatus (three-spined stickleback), 3921 nucleotides long. NCBI's taxonomy places the organism in Eukaryota, Metazoa, Chordata, Actinopteri, Perciformes, Gasterosteidae. The record is from Ensembl.